Homo sapiens (human) is the source of this 4166-nucleotide long non-coding RNA. Ensembl annotates it as TROAP and PRPH antisense RNA 1. Its record names the gene TROAP-AS1. The record is from Ensembl. NCBI's taxonomy places the organism in Eukaryota, Metazoa, Chordata, Mammalia, Primates, Hominidae.
AUAAGACACUAUUCUAAGCACUGGGGUCCCAUAAGAAUAAGACAAAGCCCCUAUCCUCAAGAGGCUAUCAUCAAACUAUAGACAGAGAUGGGAUCUCCCUCUGUCAUCCAGGCUGGUCUCCAACUCCUGGCCUCCAGUGAUCCUCCUGCUUCAGCCUCCUGAGUAGCUGUGAUUACAGGUACAAGCCAUGGCACCUGGCGAGAUGACAUUUUGCUGGAGGAAAGGGAGAUCUUCUAAGAGCAAAGAGCUUUCCAGGAGCUGGGACCAGGACUAUCACAGAUUGCCCUAUGUCGUCCAUGCUGGUCUGGAACUCCUGGGCUCAAGAGAUCCUCUCACCUUGGCCUCCCAAAGUGCUGAGAUUACAGAGCUAGAGUCUCAUGAUGUCGUCCAGGCUGGUAUCGAACUCGGCUUCAAGCAGUCCUCUCACCUCAGCCUCUCGAGUAGCUGGAAUUACAGUUGAGAGCCACUGCAUCCAGCUUUGCUCUUUCUUUGAAAGGAGGCAAAAGAAUGGACGGGCACGGAGAUCCUAGAGGCGAAGCAAGUUGUCAGCGCCCCUGCCCAGGCCCCGCCCUGCCCGGCCCAGUCCCGACCCCGCCCUGCCCCGCCCCAGCAGCUCCACCCUCACCGGCUCUCCUCGCCCUCCAGCAGCUUGCGGUAGGUGGCGAUCUCGAUGUCCAGGGCCAUCUUGACGUUGAGGAGCUCCUGGUACUCCCUCAGGUGCCGCGCCAUCUCCUCUUUUAGCUGUCGCAGCUCCUCCUCGAGCCGCGCAGCGCCCGCCUGGUAGCCCCCCGCCUCCAGGGCGAACUGCUCCUCCAGCUCUCUCAACUGCCUGAGCAGCGCCUCGUUCUGGGGUAGGAGAGUGGAAGGGGCCAGUUGCAGAACAUUUCAUCGUCCGCUCCCCGGGCCCGAGCGCGCAGCUUCGUACUCACCGUGCCGCGCAGCCCGUCCACCUCGCACGUUAGACUCUGGAUCUGGCGUCGGGACUCGUUCAUCUCCUGCUUGGCCUGGCGCAGGGCCUCGUGGUUCCGGUUGGCAGCGUCGGACAGGUCCGCGUACUGAGAAGUGGGGGUAACCCAGGCUUUAGUCGGCUGGGACGCGCGACACCACCCCAGCGUCCCGCCUCGCAGGCCCUCCCGGCUCUUGCACCUUGGACUUGUACCACUCCUCCGCCUCCUGCAGGUUCUUCGCGGCGAUGCUCUCGUACUGCGCGCGGAUGUCCCUCAGCGCUGCCGUCAGCUCGGGCUUCACCGUGGCUUCCACCUCCACCUGCUGCACCUGCUGGCUCUCCACACUCACCUGCAGGUCUCGCAGCUCCUACGGCCGGGAGCAGGCAGAGGAUGGACAGCGGCGCAAAUUCCACGCGGGCCACGCAGUUCGUGCACAGAAAAGAGAAGAAACGCUUGAACGAACAGAAGUGGGCGCCAGGGAGGGCAGGGCGUACAGCCCUGCGCCCCCGCGGGCGCGAGACCAGAGGCCAGGUUUCGGAGCUCCAGCGAGACCACCCCACAACCUCAGAAACCGCCCCUGAUACCGGGCCCACUUACCUCCUCGUGCAGCUUCUUGAGGAACUCAAUCUCAUCCAUCAGAGACUCAAUCUUGCGCUCUAGUUCCAGGCGGGACAGAGUGGCAUCGUCCACGUCCUUCGAGGGGUGGCAGUGGAGGUUCAAGAUAAGUUAGGGGCUGCGCAGACCAAGGAAGGACCAGGCCUUCCCUGUCUGCCUCAGGAGGCAUCUGGGUUACCCCCUUCUCCCCGCGCCCACCGAUGCCACCUCUGGAUACUGAGAUCGGGGGUAGCGGUGGGGAGGCUGAACUCGGAGAGGGGCUCGGACUCACCUUGCGGAAGAGCACGAGGUUGUGCUCCGCGUCCUCCCGCUUGCGCGUCUCCUCCUCCAACCUGACGGGAAGAGCGUGCAGAGGCUGAACUGCGGGGUCGCCGCCCAGCUCGCACCCCAGACCGCACGCCCCCCAGGAUCCGGUUAGAGGCUGUUCUGCUGCCCAGGACUCUAAAUGGAGGGCUGAGGCUGUCUAAUGGAAUUGCCCCGCAUUGUCUCUAACGGACUGGGAGCUGAAAAGGGGGUUUCCUCAUUACUCAGGGGAGGCACAGAUACCCACUUCUCCCACCUCCCCAAACACUCAGAGCAAAGGGGUAGCGGGGGGCACUUGGAGCCCGUGGGCAGGGAUGCUGCCCGCACACACCUGGGUUGGUAAGGGGAGCCACACCCUUGGGCUGCUGAUGGAGAGGGGAAGCGAGGGGAGGCAAGAGCAGCCGCCUCGACGGCCGCUUCGACCUCGCCUCGACGGCAGCGGCCCAGCCCUGCCCCCUGACCUCUGCUUGAGCGCCGCCAGGUCCUCCGCCAGCCCGUCGCGCUCCACCUGCACCCGGUCACGCUCGCGGCCCAACAGCUCCAGCUCUCGCCGCAGCUCGCGCAGCUCCUGCUGGCACAGCUGGUCGGCGCGCGCCGGCUCCUGGCCCCGGGCUUGGCUCAGCUCCCCGCGCAGGGCCGCGUUCUGCUGCUCCAGAAAGCGUACCUUCUCGAUGAAGUUGGCGAAGCGGUCGUUGAGCUCCUGCAGCUCCUGCUUCUCGUUGCUGCGCGUGGCCAGGAACUCCUGGUUGAGGGCCUCGGCCAUGGAGAAGUCGAGGCGCUCCGAGGGCAGGCGCAGGAGGGCGCCCGCUCCCGCUCGGGGGCUACGGAAGCUGCCCAGGCGCACCGAGGAGCUCGGGGACGCGGAGCCCAGCAGGCGGCUGCUGGAGAAGCGGGAGCUGGACGAGUAGGAGAAGGCCCCGGGGGAUAGUGAGGGCGGUGGACCGAAGACGGCCCAGCAGAGGUUGUCUGCUGAUGUUUCAGCCUUAAAGACACAGCCCCCAAACCUAGACCUACCCCGCAACAAGCCCCAAUGAGCUUCCAGAAUGCAAGCACAACCUGCCCAGGAGUGGACAGAGGCAGCUCGGAUGGUCUGCAGGAGCCGGGUUGCUGAGGUCUGCUGGGUUUGCCAGGAACCAUAGGGCUGGGGCUGCUGCUGCUGCUGGGGACUCCAGCGCUGUCCUGUGAGACAGGUCUGCCUCAGAUGGGACCUGAGGACAAGAGAGUGCAUCUGGGGAAGCAGGUUUCAGGUUCCUGCCUGGAUAUCUGGCUGGGGGUAAGGAGGGCGGCUCCCUGGCUGGCCAGCUCCUCAGUAUUGCAGGGCAGCAGCCCCCUCCCCCCUUUGUGCGUCCUGUGAGAUGGGCCAGGGCCAACGCCCUGCUCACGUCCCUACCGCCUUCGUCUCCUUUCCAGGCCCCUCCUUCCUUCCGGGCCAUUAGUCUCUCCCUGCACAGCUGCCAGUUCCUUCUCCUUGAUGGGUCUGGUUUGGUUGCCAGGGGAGUGGGAAGCGGGAGGAAGGGAGAGAUGGGACAGGACGAAUAAAUGACAGCUUGGCCUCCCCUAACUCCUGGGAAUUGGGAGGGGUAGGGUCCCACCCGGGAUAGGGCCGGGAGGCUUGGUGGGUGUGAGGAGGGGCUAGGGAAGCCUUGGUGCUUCCUGCCGCAGUCCUGGGCACUGAGCCCCAGCUGCUGUUGGCCUGGAGCCCCAUCUAUCCCGGAUUUGGCCCCACCCUCCAGGAGCAGGGAGCCAGCUCUGCAUCAGGAGAGGCGGGCAAGGCCUGGGGAGGACCAGCUCAGGCCCUGUCUACAGGGCACUAGUGGGGGACCCAAGCCUCUGAGAGUAGAGGCUGCUGGGGCUGCAGCUGGGCCUGGGGAGUUCCAGAUGGAGUUCCCGUCCUCACCCUGCUUAAGGGCUCCGCUGGCCACCUACAUGCCUCGGAGGAGAAGGGACAGAGGGCUGCCACAGCAGGGCUCUGGAGCUGUGGAUCAGGCCUGGGUGGGGAACUGCCAGGCAGAAGAGGCUCCUCCCCUAAAGCAGAAGGAGCAGGCCAGCAACUCCAGGCGGAGCAAAGGUAGGCAAAGAGUCUGGGUUAAGAGCCGGGCUCUGGCAUCCAGCUGCCACACUUCCCAUCUGAUCCACCACUCUGUUGUAGAAUUUAGGCUCGUCACUACGUCCCUUCAUGUCCCUCAAGAAAAGGGAGAUAACUAACUGUAGCUUCUACCUCAUAGUGUUGUUGGGAGGACUAAAGGAAUAAAUAAAUACAUGUGAAGUGCUUAGGACACACAUCUUAAAGCCUGAAAAUGG